This is a small nuclear RNA of Neopsephotus bourkii (Bourke's parrot), 188 nucleotides long. RefSeq annotates it as U2 spliceosomal RNA. The record is from RefSeq and is a predicted model, not a curated record. NCBI's taxonomy places the organism in Eukaryota, Metazoa, Chordata, Aves, Psittaciformes, Psittacidae. The transcript has a single exon.
AUCGCUUCUCGGCCUUUUGGCUAAGAUCAAGUGCAGUAAUUGUUCUUAUCAAUUUAAUAUCUGAUAUGUCCUCAAUUAGAGGACUUUAUAUUAAAUGGAAUUUUGGGACUGGGAGUUGGAUCCAGAGCUUCCUUUUUUUUCUUUUUUUUUUUUUUAAGUUCCUGACAACUGGAAAAAGGGAAAUACAA